RNAcentral lists this ribosomal RNA (253 nucleotides) under uncultured bacterium. RNAcentral's name for it is "partial 16S ribosomal RNA". It matches the Rfam family "Bacterial small subunit ribosomal RNA", at positions 524 to 776 of the family's 1533-position model. The record is from RNAcentral.
UACGUAGGGUGCAAGCGUUAAUCGGAAUUACUGGGCGUAAAGGGCUCGUAGGCGGCCAACUAAGUCAGACGUGAAAUCCCUCGGCUUAACCGGGGAACUGCGUCUGAUACUGGAUGGCUUGAGUUCGGGAGAGGGAUGCGGAAUUCCAGGUGUAGCGGUGAAAUGCGUAGAUAUCUGGAGGAACACCGGUGGCGAAGGCGGCAUCCUGGACCGACACUGACGCUGAUGAGCGAAAGCCAGGGGAGCAAACGGG